CCUACGGGGCGCAGCAGUGGGGCAUCUUGCGCAAUGGGCGAAAGCCUGACGCAGCGACGCCGCGUGAGGGAUGAAGGUCUUCGGAUCGUAAACCUCUGUCAGCAGGGCAGAACGGUCACUGUGCUAAUCAGCAGUGAAUUGACGGUACCUGCAAAGGAAGCACCGGCUAACUCCGUGCCAGCAGCCGCGGUAAUACGAAGGGUGCGAGCGUUAAUCGGAAUUACUGGGCGUAAAGCGCUCGUAGGCGGUAGGUCAAGUCAAGGGUGAAAUCCCCGCGCGCAACGUGGGAACUGCCUUUGAAACUGGCAAACUGGAGUGUGUGAGAGGAUAGUGGAAUUCCAGGUGUAGGAGUGAAAGCCGUAGAUAUCUGGAGGAACAUCAGUGGCGAAGGCGACUAUCUGGCACAUAACUGACGCUGAGGAGCGAAAGCGUGGGUAGCAAACAGGAUUAGAUACCCCUGUAGUC
This 465-nucleotide ribosomal RNA is filed under the name uncultured bacterium. Its description in RNAcentral is "partial 16S ribosomal RNA". It matches the Rfam family "Bacterial small subunit ribosomal RNA", at positions 338 to 795 of the family's 1533-position model. The record is from RNAcentral.